UCCCAUUCCAGUUCCAGCGCUGUGGCCUGGAGGUCAUCACUGUCAAGGUAUUGGCCCUGGGUUCUCUGAUCUGCAUUCACUUUGUGAUAGGCCAUCUUUUUAACUUAAAGCCAAGACAGGAUUAGUUGAGUAGAAACAUUUUCACGAAGGCAUAUUUUCCAUCUGUCCUCAAAGACUCCAUGAUAAUUCUCCUCGGUCACCAGAAAGAAGCCCAGAUCCAAAAGUUAUUUCCAACGUCCAGACAAGAAAUCUCAUUUCCCCAAGCAGCUCCGUGCGCAGGGAGCACGCACUCGCAGGCAGCCCCGCGCAGUGGCAGAGCUGAGUGGAAGCGGCACGAGCGCAACCGUUGGUUCCCGCCG
RNAcentral lists this long non-coding RNA (359 nucleotides) under Gallus gallus (chicken). Lineage: Eukaryota; Metazoa; Chordata; Aves; Galliformes; Phasianidae. The record is from RNAcentral.